Hylaeus anthracinus is the source of this 664-nucleotide long non-coding RNA. RefSeq lists it as uncharacterized. The record is from RefSeq and is a predicted model, not a curated record. Lineage: Eukaryota; Metazoa; Arthropoda; Insecta; Hymenoptera; Colletidae. The transcript has 3 exons.
CAGAAAAUAAUAUGUGUGCGUAUUACUGGUAUACAAAAAGGAAGUGAACUACUUUUUAGUCUAAUCCAGGAUAUGUUAGAUUAUGAUUAAAUAAGAUUAAAUAAGUUAGGUUAGGUUAUGAUGCAAUAAGAAGAAAAUCAGGACUGCGAGGAAUUAUUAUUAUUAGGAUACCGAGGAUAGUAUCUUUCAAAAUGAAUCGCAUGCAACAAUUGUUGAAGGAGUGAAGAUAUACAUUCUGUAGGAUGAUACGAGGCCACACACGGAAUUAUUCUAGAUCUUCUUGUUGCUUUUUCUUCAUGAUUGUAUUUAUUAUACACAUACAUGUAUCUUUGAAUGGAAGUAUACUGAUAAUGAUAUAGAGAUCUUUGAAAACAGCCUGGUGGAAGAGUGAGAUCAGAUAAGAAAACAAGAAGGGAUAAGAUAGCAAGUUUAGAGGAAAUUAACAUAAGCUCAAAUUCCAACAAAGAAGUAUAUAUAUAAGUACACGAAGAAAGCAAUGUCAUCUCUCUCAACGCUACCACUGAUCAACACAUUAAUUCUUUGUAAUAUAGGUUUGAUGUACCUCGCCGUUAGAAAGUAAGAGACCUGUACAACAUGCUCGCACACGAUACUUUCUUUUAGUUGGGAUACUUACACGCGCUGUACACGUUACGUCGAUUCAUUA